ACCAAGUGUACGAUCUAUAGCUGGUUUUAGAGGAUGAUCAGCAACACUGGGACUGAGACACGGCCCAGACUCCUACGGGAGGCAGCAGUGGGGAAUCUUAGACAAUGGGCGCAAGCCUGAUCUAGCCAUGCCGCGUGUGUGAUGAAGGUCUUAGGAUCGUAAAGCACUUUCGCCAGGGAUGAUAAUGACAGUACCUCGUA
Molecule: ribosomal RNA, 200 nt
Filed under: uncultured bacterium KC426
Lineage: Bacteria; Pseudomonadati; Pseudomonadota; Alphaproteobacteria
Description: partial 16S rRNA
Rfam family: Bacterial small subunit ribosomal RNA
Source: RNAcentral